This 74-nucleotide transfer RNA is filed under the name Stegodyphus mimosarum. It matches the Rfam family "tRNA". Rfam says of the family: Transfer RNA (tRNA) molecules are approximately 80 nucleotides in length. Their secondary structure includes four short double-helical elements and three loops (D, anti-codon, and T loops). Lineage: Eukaryota; Metazoa; Arthropoda; Arachnida; Araneae; Eresidae. The record is from Rfam by way of RNAcentral.
GCCUUCGGGGUGUGAUGAUCAAGCAUACUCGGCUCGUAUUCGAGAGGUCCGUGGUUCGAGUCCCGGCGAUUGCA